GCAGUGGGGAAUAUUGGGCAAUGGAGGAAACUCUGACCCAGCGACGCCGCGUGCGGGAUGAAGGCCUUCGGGUUGUAAACCGCUUUCAGCAGGGAAUAAGCGCAAGUGAAGGUACCUGCAGAAGAAGCACCGGCUAACUAUGUGCCAGCAGCCGCGGUAAUACAUAGGGUGCAAGCGUUGUCCGGAAUUAUUGGGCGUAAAGAGCUCGUAGGUGGUUUGUUACGUCGGUUGUGAAAUUCAGGGGCUCAACCCCUGACUUGCAGCCGAUACGGGCAAGCUAGAGUUUGGUAGGGGAGACUGGAAUUCCUGGUGUAGCGGUGGAAUGCGCAGAUAUCAGGAGGAACACCGAUGGCGAAGGCAGGUCUCUGGGCCAAUACUGACACUGAGGAGCGAAAGCGUGGGGAGCGAA
RNAcentral lists this ribosomal RNA (409 nucleotides) under actinobacterium SCGC AAA278-N05. Its description in RNAcentral is "bacterial SSU rRNA". It matches the Rfam family "Bacterial small subunit ribosomal RNA", at positions 351 to 772 of the family's 1533-position model. Lineage: Bacteria; Bacillati; Actinomycetota; Actinomycetes. The record is from RNAcentral.